UACGUAGGUGGCAAGCGUUGUCCGGAUUUACUGGGCGUAAAGCGUAUGCAGGCGGAUUGUUAAGUAGGAAGUGAAAGGUUGGAGCUCAACUCUAACACUGCUCCCUAUACUGGCAGUCUUGAGUGGCGGAGAGGAAGAUGGAACGACACGUGUAGCGGUGAAAUGCGUUGAUAUGUGUCGGAACACCAAUGGCGAAAGCAAUCUUCUGGACGCAAACUGACGCUGAGAUACGAAAGCCAAGGUAGCAAAC
This 250-nucleotide ribosomal RNA is filed under the name uncultured bacterium. RNAcentral's name for it is "partial 16S ribosomal RNA". It matches the Rfam family "Bacterial small subunit ribosomal RNA", at positions 524 to 773 of the family's 1533-position model. The record is from RNAcentral.